CUCUUAUCCCGAGCUGGUGGAGGGACAGGCCCUAUGAAACCCAGCAACCAUCACCCAUUUCCAUAGAGGUGAUAAGGUGCUAACCUGAUGCAAGGGAAUAAACCUUGAUCGAUAAGAG
RNAcentral lists this non-coding RNA (118 nucleotides) under Bacillus sp. (in: firmicutes). RNAcentral describes it as "Bacillus sp. SAM-I sequence". It matches the Rfam family "SAM riboswitch aptamer (S box leader)". From Rfam's summary of the family: The SAM riboswitch is found upstream of a number of genes which code for proteins involved in methionine or cysteine biosynthesis in Gram-positive bacteria. The SAM riboswitch acts at the level of transcription termination control. The predicted structure consists of a complex stem-loop region followed by a single stem loop terminator region. RNAcentral also lists the same sequence under 1 other name. Lineage: Bacteria; Bacillati; Bacillota; Bacilli; Caryophanales; Bacillaceae. The record is from RNAcentral.